RNAcentral lists this transfer RNA (71 nucleotides) under Elusimicrobiota bacterium. Its description in RNAcentral is "tRNA-Arg". It matches the Rfam family "tRNA". From Rfam's summary of the family: Transfer RNA (tRNA) molecules are approximately 80 nucleotides in length. Their secondary structure includes four short double-helical elements and three loops (D, anti-codon, and T loops). The record is from RNAcentral. Lineage: Bacteria; Pseudomonadati; Elusimicrobiota.
CGCCUGUAGUUCAAUGGAUAGAGCGUCAGCCUCCGAAGCUGAAAAUAUGGGUUCGAUUCCCCUCAGGCGCA